UUCUUCUCGUUUCUUCCUCUUUCUUGUUUUCUUUCUUCUUUCUUCUUCUCUCUUUUCCCUUCUUCUCUGUUCUUCUUCUGUUCUGUUCGAUUUGAGAGUUAUGAGUCAUAUUUUGUCGAGGGAAAUCAACUGGUAGUAUUGAUAGAUGAUUGAGAAGAUGGUGUGGUCGUUAAUUGUGAAACAGAAGAAUUAAGGUUUAUCAUAUGGAUCGUUAAUUGAGUUAUUGAUUGAGAGAUUGAAGAAUGGAAUUUGGUGAACACGGUAUGAAGAAGAAGCUUGAGUAUUUGAUGUGUGAGUUUUUAUGGAAGAUUGGAGAAGCUAGGGUUUCUGUUCAUCCCCAGAACAGAUAUUAGGGUUCUUGCAUGCAAUUAAAUCAAGUGACUGAAACUGGAAUUGAGGUUUUGGGGGAGAGAUUAGAGAUGGGUAAAUGUUCAAUUGAAGUUUUGAAGUGAAUCCAGUGAUGUAUUGGAGAAUUUGGGUUAAGGUUUCUGUAUUGUCUUUUGGAACUUGUUUUGGAUAAGGAUUAAAAAGAAAUUAACAAAUGGGUUUGUCCUUAAUUGAUGAUGGUUGAAGCCAUGAGCUGAGGAAGAUGAUUUAAUCAAAGAAUCAGAGAUGCAUUUUGGUGUUAAGGCUAAUAAAGUUUAGAAAGAAGUUUCUUUGAGGUAAUUGUUCUCUGAGUUGAUUUAGUAAAGUUAUUUAUUUUAUUGAUUAAGUAUAUGCAAUUGGUAAUUGAGUUAAGAAUGGUUGGGUGUUUGAGUAGAUGUUGUAUGAAUGGGGAUUACAGGUAGUGGUGGUGUUAUUAUUGUUGUUGUGUGUUGUAGAAUGCAGGGGAGGAAUUGGAGGUUUGUUCUGGUUCACAGGAAGUUGUGAUGAAUUUGGUGGAUGGUUGUUAUCUGAAUUGAGAAUGAUAUUAAUGUUGUAAGAGUUGUAUUCGGAGCUGAAAUGCGUGCGUGUUUGGAACUGUAGGUACAGGUAGAGAAGUGGUGAACUAUUAUGAUGAAUGUUACAUGGGCUAAGUGGUUGCAGUUCAUGGGAAUAGAAUUAAUGAUUGAGAGGAGACGUAGCAGUGAUUGGAUUGUAGAUUUAGAGUGACUGGUGCUAUGUGGAUUGUUGGUUUAAGCAUUAUAGCCGGAGUUGUAACUACAGAGGUGAAGUGAAAGUUGUAAUAUGUUUUCAGGUGCAGCUAUAGAGUGGGUUGAAGUUCUGGUGGUGGGUUUGAGUAUAGGAUGUUAUAGAAGUGUAUCUAGAUGUACUGGACUUUAGUUAAUGGGCUUGCUUAAUGGACUUGGGCUUUGGGAAGUUUUCUUAAGUAGACAUUUUCUUAAGUAGACAUUUUCGACCUCUUGUGGUCCGAAUUAGCAUUUGAUUUCUGCUAUAAAGUGUAGAUAUUCAUAAGACUUAGCUAGGGGUUAUAGAAUCAAUCUAAUUGUAUUAGUAAUCUCUUGUUAUGUUAAUGGUAGAUAAUAAAAGGUGUAGAAUCAUAAUGGGAUUAGAAUAAUUAGAUAGUUCACUUAGUCUAUAACUAGAGACUUGUAUGAAAUUAUGUUAUGAGCCUUGUGGCUAAAUUCUUAGAAUUCUUGUAUAAUUAACAGUUAAGCUCUAUUAACAACGAUCGAUUCAAAGAACGAACCAGUGGAUCGUAGAUCUCGAGAUAGAUGUGGCUUGUCAUGAAAAGAGUUUCAGAGACAGAUCAGAGUUGCGCAGCGAAAGCUUCAACGGUUGUUUUCGUUAGUUGGUUAACUUCUGCUAUUUUUCAUUAUAUUGUAUAUUUUAUUGUAAACCAAUUGGCUAUUGUAUAAAUAUCAUUUUAGAGGAGUUUUGUAUAUA
Papaver somniferum (opium poppy) is the source of this 1827-nucleotide long non-coding RNA. RefSeq lists it as uncharacterized. The record is from RefSeq and is a predicted model, not a curated record. The transcript is spliced from 2 exons. Lineage: Eukaryota; Viridiplantae; Streptophyta; Magnoliopsida; Ranunculales; Papaveraceae.